RNAcentral lists this long non-coding RNA (1015 nucleotides) under Gossypium barbadense (sea-island cotton). RNAcentral describes it as "long non-coding RNA (GBAR_LNC014092)". Lineage: Eukaryota; Viridiplantae; Streptophyta; Magnoliopsida; Malvales; Malvaceae. The record is from RNAcentral.
AAUUUUCCAAGUUCCAACCCAGUUUAAAAUUAUCAAUUUCUAUCUUUCUCUUCCUCUCUCCUUUAUAUAUAUAUUUUUCUAAUUUUCCCACUUCUUUCUUUACUUUUUGUUGAUCUGUUCUAUCAUAUCCCUGUUUACUCUUUUCUUUUUAUCUCCAUUUCUUUUAAUUUUUAAUUUCUUUUCUUCAUUUCUCUUCCCCUCUCCCUUAUUUUUGGGUCACUCUCGUUAUCCAAUCAAUCUUCCAUUGAGAGUUUGCGUCAAGAAGAAAAAAAUGAUGGUCUCUUGGGUUGAAAAGGGAAAUGAUAACGAUAAUCUAAGAAAAUAGGAGAAAGAGAAAUGAAGAAUCACAACUUAUUUUGGGUUAGGUGUUAAAUUUUUUUCUUUGGGUUGGUUGGUUGGUCGAAAAAAAUUGGAGCAAAAAUCAUAUAAACCCGCUUACCGUUGUAUACGUUUCGGGGUUGGCAAUUCAAUAGCGGUUCUCCGAAUCAGUGUACUGGCUAGUUCCUGAGUUGACCAGUGGGUCUGCAUUUAGACCUCAUUUUCGUCAUUGGUUAGUUUAGAUUAACUCAAAAUUUUAAUUUCUUAUGAUUGUUGUUAGCUUUGUCCUUAAGUUGUCUACUUCAAACAGCAUUUUGGUACUAGUUAGAAAAGAACAAAAAUUUACAUUUGUCAUAAUACAUAACAUUGUUAUCUUGUUCAACAUCUGCAAAUUGUGGUCAGGUUUUAUGUGGAUUAUGCAGUUAUGUUAUGUAGAAUUUGUCCAUUGUUGAAUGAAUGUAGAGGUGAGUGGUGAAGUGUGAUUAAAAGAAAUUUGAAGCCUUUUCAGUUGAAUAGAUAUUGAUUUGUUGCAUUUCAUCUAAUGGGAACAUUCAACAAUCCCACUCAGGGAGAUUCCUCGAAGAUGGUAGGUUUCCUUUUAAAUUGCUAGAAGCUCCUUUUUUUCAUGAUUCAUGAUAGCAGAAUGUUAAUUUUGCUUUGGUUAAUCUCUCUAUAUAUGUAUACUUUUGCAAACACC